Molecule: small RNA, 443 nt
Filed under: Pongo abelii (Sumatran orangutan)
Lineage: Eukaryota; Metazoa; Chordata; Mammalia; Primates; Hominidae
Description: processed transcript
Source: RNAcentral
AGAAUGCUCAGAGAAUGUAAGUAAUUUGUUUUGGCUGCAGGUACAUAAAAUAUAGCAGUAGGAGAUGGGAAGGGAGAGGCAGAGGCCAACCAGGACAUCAGGAAUUUGCUGCACUGACAAAAGAAUUAAAUGCCUGCAGGGAACAACUUCUAGAAAAGGAAGAAGAAAUCUCUGAACUUAAAGCUGAAAGAAACAACACAAGACUAUUACUGGAGCAUUUGGAGUGCCUUGUGUCACGACAUGAAAGGUCACUAAGAAUGACGGUGGUAAAACGGCAAGCCCAGUCUCCCUCAGGAGUAUCCAGUGAAGUUGAAGUUCUCAAGGCACUGAAAUCUUUGUUUGAGCACCACAAGGCCUUGGAUGAAAAGGUAAGGGAGCGACUGAGGGUUUCUUUAGAAAGAGUCUCUGCACUGGAAGAAGAACUAGCUGCUGCUAAUCAGGAG